GGGCUUGACAUCCCACGAACCUGCCCGAAAGGGUAGGGUGCCCGCAAGGGAGCGUGGAGACAGGUGGUACAUGGCUGUCGUCAGCUCGCGUCGUGAGAUGUUGGGUUAAGUCCCGCAACGAGCGCAACCCUCACCCCUUGUUGCCACCGGGUUAUGCCGAGCACUCUAGGGGAACUGCCAGCGUCAAGCUGGAGGAAGGCGGGGAUGACGUCAAGUCAUCAUGCCCCUUACGCCCUGGGCGACACACGUGCUACAAUGGCUGGUACAAAGGGAUGCAAGACCGCGAGGUGGAGCUAAUCCCAAAAAACCGGUCUAAGUUCAGAUUGCAGUCUGCAACUCGACUGCAUGAAGGAGGAAUCGCUAGUAAUCGCGCAUCAGCACGGCGCGGUGAAUACGUUCCCGGGCCUUGUACACACCGCCCGUCACACCACGAAAGCCGGCUGUACUCGAAGUCGCUGAGA
RNAcentral lists this ribosomal RNA (461 nucleotides) under uncultured Methylomirabilota bacterium. Its description in RNAcentral is "bacterial SSU rRNA". It matches the Rfam family "Bacterial small subunit ribosomal RNA", at positions 977 to 1435 of the family's 1533-position model. Lineage: Bacteria; Methylomirabilota (SeqCode). The record is from RNAcentral.